CCUACGGGUGGCAGCAGUGAGGAAUAUUGGUCAAUGGACGAGAGUCUGAACCAGCCAAGUAGCGUGAAGGAUGACUGCCCUAUGGGUUGUAAACUUCUUUUAUAUGGGAAUAAAAUGUUCCACGUGUGGGAUUUUGUAUGUACCAUAUGAAUAAGGAUCGGCUAACUCCGUGCCAGCAGCCGCGGUAAUACGGAGGAUCCGAGCGUUAUCCGGAUUUAUUGGGUUUAAAGGGAGCGUAGGUGGAUUGUUAAGUCAGUUGUGAAAGUUUGCGGCUCAACCGUAUAAUUGCAGUUGAAACUGGCAGUCUUGAGUACAGUAGAGGUGUGCGGAAUUCGUGGUGUAGCGGUGAAAUGCUUAGAUAUCACGAAGAACUCCGAUUGCGAAGGCAGUUCACUGGACUGCAACUGACACUGAGGCUCGAAAGUGUGGGUAUCAAACAGGAUUAGAUACCCUUGUAGUC
RNAcentral lists this ribosomal RNA (460 nucleotides) under uncultured bacterium. Its description in RNAcentral is "partial 16S ribosomal RNA". It matches the Rfam family "Bacterial small subunit ribosomal RNA", at positions 338 to 795 of the family's 1533-position model. The record is from RNAcentral.